RNAcentral lists this long non-coding RNA (16073 nucleotides) under Malus domestica (apple). RNAcentral's name for it is "long non-coding RNA (MDOM_LNC006316)". The record is from RNAcentral. Lineage: Eukaryota; Viridiplantae; Streptophyta; Magnoliopsida; Rosales; Rosaceae.
GUUGCAUUUGGAUUUGACAACGGAACAGUUGUAGUUAAAAUGAAUGGUUAUGUUGAUCUCCAAGCUUAGAAGGAAAGGUUGAAGGAAUAAAAGACAUCUAGGGAUCAUGUGAUUAAUACCUUGUCAAUAAAUGAUUUCGACGCACAAUACUGUUAUACUUGCUGACACAUUCUCUAAUAUAAGCGGAUUUCACCAUUAUAUGCAAGUUUCAUAUUGUCAAGUGUGUCGGCAAGUGUGUUAGUUUUGUAUGUCUAAAUAGUGUCAUUUGUACCGCAUACGUUAGAGGAAUUAUCCCAAGAACUUUACAGUGUUACUCUUAUUAUUGUAUUAUAUGUAUCAAUAAAACUAUAAAGAAUGUUUCGAAUGAUCCCUGAGGUUGACAUAACUCUUUACUUUGACAUCUGAGUUUUUUUUUUUCUUUUGAAUCGUUUGACAUAACUCUUUACUUUGACCCCUGGGUUUUUUUUCUUUCUUUUGAAUCGUUUGAGAUACAAAAUUAUACCUGAAUUUUUUCAUUGAUUCCGAAACAAAAGUUCGUGGCAUGAAGUAAUACCAUGUAAAAAUAAUCAGAUAUUUUACAAAUAAAAUCCAGAAAUCACAACCCUGUUACAUAUUUCAACUACGCCUUUAUAACGUAUUUUCUUAGGGACUUAUACAGCAGAGUAGAGUAUAAUAAUCUAGUCAGACGAUACAUACGAAGAUUAGAUGUUCCUACGGUUAAUACCCCUGAUUACAACAAUAAGAAUGAUCAUGCAUUUAGCAAACACAUUUAUGCACCAGAUGUAGAACCCUAAUAUCACAUCUGCCACCAAUUACGACUUGAACAAUAAUCCCCUGAAUUUACGUUGCUCUUUCGAAACUACCACCAACCUGGAGAAAUUUUUAGUUGUGACGAGAACACAAGUGGUACACCAUGUGUUUUAAUAGGAGUGGUGGGAAAUGUUAUUUUUUAAGUUAUUAACUUUUUAGCACACAUAUCCCACAAUUUGUAUAGUGACACGUGGUGUACCAUCCCGUGUACCGAUCACACUGAAAAAUCUCUCCACCAACCUAUGUAGCCAUUCGGGCUGUGAGCUUUGGGCGUACUCCCUUGGUGUGUCCGAACAGUGGCAGGAUUUCAGGUAUUGUCUCUCGCUCUUUAUUACUAUGUGAUUUACAUCUCUCUUUCGUUAUUCGUUAUAUGCUCUAUUAUGGAAGUUCUAUACCAUGUGGACUGAUUGCAAAUGUAACUGGUAAGCCAAGCUUGGCAAAUCAUGGCCUUACCUUACUUUGUUAGGAAUGUCGGUACAAGCCAAAGACAAGGCUUGAUGGAUACAAGAAAGUAUAACACACACUUUCUAUCACUCUAAACUUCACUCACACAAUGUGUAGUGGAACACUCUCACUCUCACUCUUGGAGUGGAACUCUAGCUUUGGACUUGAUCCUUUGCUACUCACUCUUAGUUCUUUAUUGGUUACAUCACACCCAUAUUUAUAGGUGAGGGCUUGGCAUUCUACUAGUUUCUAGUUCCUUCUUCAAACCUCUAGUAUAGAAAAAUCUAGACUAGCCACAUACUUGUAGCUUCUAGAUCUUUCCAUUUGCAACCAAGGAAGCUAGUACUCUCUAGCUUCUUCCAUCAACUUAAUAACAUGCUAGAAUUGUCUAGCAAGCUCCAGCCUCAUCUCUUGCUUACUAGAAUAAUCUAGAACAUUGAUCAUGGGCUGGACCAUAUACCAACAAUCUCCCCCUCCAGUCCAUGAGGGAGGAAUUCCGAUCAUGACUCCAAGUUACCUGGAGUUCAUCCCAGCAGCUUUAAUGCAGAAUUCCAACUUUGAUUUUGUGACUACCUUUGUCAACAUGUCUGAAGAAUUAUUAUCGGUAUGAAUCUUCUUCAGCUGCAGCAACUUGUUCUCGAUAGCGUCUCUAAUCCAGUGAUAACGAAUAUCAAUGUGCUUAGUGCGUGAAUGAUAUGUAGUGUUCUUGCUCAAGUCCAGAGCACUCUGACUAUCACAAUAAAUGCCAUAAUCACUUUGCUUCAAACCCAACUCUUGGAGAAACUGCUUCAGCCACAACAACUCCUUGCAUGCUUCUGUAGCGGCUAUGUAUUCAGCCUCGGUUGUGGACAAAGCAACACACUUUUGCAACUUGGAUUGCCAAGACACGGCUCCCCCGGCAAAAGUGAACAAGUACCCAGAUGUAGAUUUUCUACCAUCCAGGUCACCUCCCAUGUCAGCAUCUGUAAAUCCUUCCAAGAUUGGUUUGGAACCGCCAAAGCACAAGCACAUCUUAGAAGUCCCCUUCAAAUAUCUGAGAAUCCACUUAACGGCUUCCCAGUGGUCCUUCCCUGGAUUAGAGAGAAACCUGCUCACCACACCUACUGCAUGAGCAAUAUCUGGUCGUGUGCACACCAUUGCAUACAUGAUACUUCCUACUGCUGAAGAGUAGGGAACAACUGCCAUUUUCUCUUUUUCUUCAUAUGUUUUUUGGACACGACUCUUUGCUCAACUUGAUAUGAUUGGCUAAAGGUGAGCUUACCGGUUUGGCUGCUUUCAUGUUGAACCUUUCAAGCACCCGUUCAACAUACUUUUCUUGUGACAGCCACAACUUCUUGGAUUUUCUGUCACGAAUUAUCUCCAUGCCCAAAAUCUGCUUGGCUGGCCCUAAGUCCUUCAUGUCAAAGGACUUAGAUAACUCUUCUUUGAGCUUUUUAAUCAUAGAAGCAUCUUGUCCGACAAUCAACAUGUCAUCAACAUAAAGCAAUAAGAUGAUGAAUGUACCUCCAGAAAAUUGUUUGAUAUAGACACAAGAGUCAGCAUGAGUUCUCUUGUACCCAUUACUCACCAUGAAUGAGUUGAACUUCUUAUUCCACUGUCUCGGAGCCUGCUUAAGACCAUAUAAACUUUUCUUGAGCUUGCACACCAAAUUUUCUUUACCUUUGACUUCAAAGCCUUUGGGUUGCUCCAUGUCCUCUUCUAAAUUGCCGUGGAGAAAUGCAGUUUUAACAUCUAACUGCUCGAGCUCAAGAUCCAUGCUUGCUGCCAUACCAAGGAUAACUCGAAUGGAAGUCAUCUUCACCACCGGUGAGAAAAUCUCAUCAAAGUCAACUCCUUUCUUUUGACCAAAACCUUUGACAACCAAACGAGCCUUGUACCUUGUCAUGUUGUCGUCUCUUUUCAAUUUGAACACCCACUUGUUUUUCAAUGCUUUCCUGCCCUUUGGAAGCUCCACCAGCUCAUAGGUAUCAUUCUUUGAUAAGGAAUCCAUCUCCGACUCCAUUGCCUUCAUCCAUUUGUCACUGUCGUUAUGAGCUCUGGCCUCCUCAUAUGUUUCGGGCUCUCCAUAAUUAGUCAACAUGAUAUACUCUGAUGAAGAAUACUUGGUAGACGGUCUUCGACUUCUGAUGGAUCUUCUGACCUGAUCUUCAUUCUCUUGUAGGGCUGGAGGCUCCCCCUGAUUGGGUUCUCCUUGAAUCUGCUCUUCUUGACUAGGCUCCCCCUGAUCAGCAAUCUCAUGGUUUGGCACAUCUUGAUCAGGCUCCUCUUGAUUAGCAUUAUCUGAUUCUGCAAGCACUUCAUUGGCAGUUGCUUCAGGGAUGUCAUCGUGACUUUCUUCAUCUGAAGCUAAUGGAUCAACUCCUCUGACUGCGCCAUCUGGUUGUGCCUCUUUAUCCGAAUCCCCAAUUGUUUGUUCUUCAUAAAAGACCACGUCUCUACUUCGGAUAAACUUCUUCUGGUAUGGGUCCCAUAAUCUGUAACCAAAAUCUUCACCGCCAUAACCAAGAAAGAUGCACGGUGUAGCUUUGUAGUCUAACUUCGAUCUCUGCUCUUUGGGCACAUGCACAAAAGCUUUGCAACCAAACACCUUCAGAUGAGAGUAAGACACAUCAUUACCAAUCCAUACUCUCUCUGGAACAUCAAGACCUAAUGGUACUGAUGGAGAUCGGUUGAUCAAAUAGCAGGCUGUCCUUACAGCUUCACCCCAGAACUGCUUAGAUAACUUUGCAGUCCUCAACAUACACCUGACUUUCUCCAUGAUGGUUCGGUUCAUUCUUUCAGCAACACCGUUAUGUUGUGGAGUUCCAGGAACUGUCUUCUCAUGACGUAUGCCAUGUUUUACACAAUACUCUCUAAACUGGUGAGAUGUGUACUCGCCGCCGUUUGUCGCUACGAAGGCACUUGAGAGGUUUCCCAGUUUCCCUCUCCACCAUGGCAUGGAACUCCUGGAAUGUCUGAAACACCUGGUCUUUGGAUUUCAACAAAUACACCCACACCCUUCGUGAAGCAUCAUCAAUAUAAGUAACAAAAUAUUUAUUUCUUCCAAGUGACUCGACUUCCAUGGGACCACACACAUCUGAAUAAACAAGAUCUAACAAGUUUCCUUUCUUUGUAGAUGGAACAGAAAAACUAACUCUUCUUUGUUUUCCGAAUAAACAAUGCUCACAAGAGUUUAACGACGUACCUUCGGUAAAGGGAAUGUGAGACUUCUUUGCCAAAACUUGUAGGCCUUUCUCGCUUAUGUGCCUAUGGCCUAGCCUCUUAUGCCAUAAGUCUAGAGAUGAGUCCUCCACAGCAUUCAACUCACCUUUCAAAACCUUGGCAUUUGACCGGUACAACGUACAACAAAGUCGUGCUCUUGCUACCACCAUUAAGCCUUUAGUAAGCUUCAAUUUUCCUUCGCCAAUAUGGUGAUAAUAUCCUUGUCGAUCAAGGGUACCGAUGGAUAUCAGAUUGAGACGUAUAUCAGGAAUAUGUCUCACAUCUUUCAACAUCAAUUGGCAGCCGAGAUUAGUUCUUAGACAUAUAUCACCAAUUCCAAGAAUUUUGGAAUAGCUUUCAUUCCCCAUCUUCACUAUGCCAAAGUCACCUUCUUUGUAUGUACUGAAGAACUCCCGUUUGGACGUAGCAUGGAAGGAAGCUCCAUUGUCAAAGAUCCAUUCAAUGUCUCUGUCAGAGUUGCCCAUAUGCAGACAUUCACCAACAGACAAUAUUUCUGGUACAUCACCACAUAUGACAGCAGUGGUAUUGCCAGUAUCAUCUUUUCUUCUGAUUGUUUCCUUCCCUUUGCUCUCUCUUCCAAACUCGACAAUUUUUCUUCAUAUGGCCUUCUUUGCCACAGUGGUGGCAUGCACCCCUGAACUUUGACUUGGAUCGGCUAGGACUCCUGCCAUGACCUCUAGGCCCUCUACUUUUGCUUCUUCCGCGGUUCUCUGUGACAAAUACUUGGCUGCUAUCUGUGCCAGAAGUCUUUCUCUUUGUUUCUUCAUUGAGCAUGCUAUUUUUAACAUUAUCAAGAGUAAGAACACCAUUAGAAGCAGAGUUACUUAUACUCACCACAAAGGUCUCCCAACUGUCUGGCAAGGAUCCAAGUAACAAGAGCGCUUGUAGCUCGUCCUCGAUCGUCAUUUUCAUAGUAGCCAACUGGUUGAUGAUAUUCUGGAAAUUGUUCAAGUGUUCUGCUACACUUAAACCAUCCUUGUACUUCACAUUGAUGAGCUCUUUGAUCAAGAAGGCUUUCUUGGCUGGGGUCUUCUUCUCGAACAAGGACUCAAGCUUCGUCCAAAACUCGCGAGCAUUGGUUUCAUUAGACACAUGGUGAAAAACACUAUCAUCCACCCAUUGUCUAAUUGUGCCAAUAGCCUUGCGAUUCAUCUUCUUCCACUCGGCAUCGGACAUGCUCUCGGGCUUAGCGGCAUCUCCUUCAAUUGGCUCAUGCAAAUCCUUGCAAUAGAGAAUGUCCUCCAUCCUUGGCUUCCAUGUUACCCAAUUGGAGUUGGUGAGUUUGAUCAUAGUGCCACUUCCUUCCAUCUCGUAGUACGAGCCAACCGGGCUCUGAUACCACUUGUUAGGAAUGUCGGUACAAGCCAAAGACAAGGCUUGAUGGAUACAAGAAAGUAUAACACACACUUUCUAUCACUCUAAACUUCACUCACACAAUGUGUAGUGGAACACUCUCACUCUCACUCUUGGAGUGGAACUCUAGCUUUGGACUUGAUCCUUUGCUACUCACUCUUAGUUCUUUAUUGGUUACAUCACACCCAUAUUUAUAGGUGAGGGCUUGGCAUUCUACUAGUUUCUAGUUCCUUCUUCAAACCUCUAGUAUAGAAAAAUCUAGACUAGCCACAUACUUGUAGCUUCUAGAUCUUUCCAUUUGCAACCAAGGAAGCUAGUACUCUCUAGCUUCUUCCAUCAACUUAAUAACAUGCUAGAAUUGUCUAGCAAGCUCCAGCCUCAUCUCUUGCUUACUAGAAUAAUCUAGAACAUUGAUCAUGGGCUGGACCAUAUACCAACAUACUUAUCCUGCUAACAGCUGGAAGAAAGAACUUAUAAAAUCCAGCCGAACUUGGGCAUAAAUUAUAAACUUGAAAAAGUAGAAUUGGCAAUCAAUUCGAGUAGAUAUUAUAUGCAAGUAUCCUUAAUGCAACUGGUAUCUUGGCGAGAUGUAAUUUGUUGAACCUUUAAUGGUAGUGCUUUGGCCUUCUAAUCAACCAUACAAUAUUGAUGUUGAAUUCUUUGUCCUGAAACAGCUGUGUUUUACUGCAAAAACCUGGUAUGGUGGCUUCUUGGGCCUGAUGAUCUUUGGAGCUAGUGAAGUGGUGGGGGUGUUGAGUACAUGCCUGAAGACGAAGUGAAGGUGGCUGCCGCGGAGAGGCUUAGGAUCUCGAUGGAACGGAUAGCCUUGCUAAAGGCAGCCCAACCUAAGAAAAAGAUUCCCAAAUCUGAUGAUGACGAAGACGAAGAAGAAGAGGAUGAAAGCGACGAAGAUGGGGACAAAAUCAAGAAAAAGAAGGAAAAGAAAAAAAUGGCGGAAAAUGGAAAACCAAAGGGACCUACAACCCUGUCGAAGUUGACAGCAGAGGAGGCCGAACACCGUGCUCUUCAAACAGCAGUGCUCCAAGAGUGGCAUACGUUGUGCAAGGAUAGAAGUGUUGUGCUAGGAUAGCACCAAACCUUUUAGAACCAACUCUUGAUAACCCACAAGAAAUAUAUCAAAUGAAAUGCAGAACAAAAUAUUAAAGACACCAAGAUUUUAAUGAGGUUCCUCAACAGUUAGUGUAACUGGAGUACGUCCUCAGAACAGUAGGAGCUCACCCAAUAAUCCAAUAUCAACCAAUUGGGAGUUUACAAAGUGUUGACAAUCUCACAACCCAAAUAACCCAAUACACCCAAUAGCUCUCACACACCACAGAAACAAAUAGAGAAAGAAAUAUAAUGAAUAAUUUCUUCUCUAUACAUAUAGCUCAAAGUUAUUACAACAACUACUUUGGUGGAUGAUUACUAACCAAAUGAAGCAGCAGCUUCUCUUCCUUUUGGGCUCUCUGCAAAUCUCCUUGCUCUCGGCAGCUCUCACUUCUCACUUCAGAAAAAUGAGCCCUCUUCUUCUACCUUUUUUCUUCUGCCCGAAACCAAUAAUUAUGGCUUUGAAAAAGCCACAACACAAGGAAACAUAAUUUUUUUCUUUUGCUCUGUUUAAUAGCCGAAAGCAUUUUGUUUUGUUGUCCACUUGGCCACUUGGCCACUUAUUCAACAAUCUCCACCUUGGCUAAGUUCCGAAAAACGCCAUGAUAAGCCAACCAACACAAUUAACACACAACAUCACUCCCAAACACUAGCAAGAGAACAACUCAUGCUGAGCCAAAUGCUCCAAAACUCUUACUGCUCAUCGCCUUCUUUAUAUAGGCAAAAUGUGAGCCAAGUUCAAGCAAUGAACAAACUUGGCUACACCAACAACCUUAGUCAACAUAUCAGCGGGGUUGUCUUUAGUUGGAAUCUUCUGGAGAAUGAUUUCUCCUUCACCAACAACUUCACGAACAGAGUGAUAACGCGCAUCUAUUGCUUGGUCCUCGCAUGGUGAACCUGAUACUUAGCCAAAUAAAUGAUACUCUGAUUAUCACAAUGCACCUCCACCUGCUUCUGAUCAACCCCCAAAUCUCUAAUCAGCCCAUGUAUCCAAAUGGCCUCCUUUAUAGCUUCAGCAACUGCCAUAUAUUCAGCCUCUGUAGUAGACAAUGCAACAGACGACUGCAAAAUGGACCUCUAACAAACUGGCCCUUUAGCCAUAGUAAACACAUAGCCUGUAGUAGACUUCCAUCUAUCCAGAUCACCUACAUAAUCUGAAUCAACAUAACCAACUGCAAAAUGACCAAUACCAGAGUCAUCUCUCUCAAAGCAUAAACCAACAUCUCGAGUACCAUGGAGAUACCUCAAUAUCCACUUAGCUGCUUGCCAAUGCUCUUUACCUGGAUUAUGCAUAUAUUGACUCACCAUGCCAACUGUAUGAGCAAUAUCCGGUCUAGAGCAUACCAUUGCAUACAUCAAACUACCAACCAAAUUUGCAUAUGGUAUAUUUUUCAUUUGCAGCUUCUCUUUAUCAGUUUUAGGACAUUGUAGAAAACUCAAUUUAAAAUGAGGAGCCAAAGGGGUACUAACCGGUUUGGUUGAAUCAUGAACUCCAAACUUCCGAAUCAACUUCUUAAGGUAUUGUCUUUGAUUCAAAUUAACCAAACUCUUAUCUCUAUCUCUAGUGAUCUCCAUGCCAAGGAUCUUCUUCACUUCACCAAGAUCCUUCAUCUCAAACUCAUUCUUCAUUUGCUUCUUCAAUUUUCCAAUCUCUUCAACAUUCUUUGAGGCAAUCAACAUAUCAUCAACAUAUAUCAACAAAUAAAUGAAAGACUCAUCUUGCAACUUCUUGAAGUACACACAAUGAUCAUAUUGACUUCUAGAAUAAUUUUGGCCCCUCAUAAAUUUAUCAAACCUCAAAUACCAUUGCCUUGGAGAUUGCUUCAAGCCAUAAAGUGAUUUCUUCAAUUUGCAAAACAAAUUCUCCUUCCCUUUCACUAUAUACCCAUCCGGUUGACACAUAUAAAUCUCUUCAUUCAAAUCACCAUGUAGGAAAGCCGUCUUCACAUCAAGUUGCACAAGCUUAAGAUCAUACUGUGCAACAAAAGCUAACAUAAUGCGAAUUGAUGAGUGCUUCACAACCGGAGAAAAUAUUUCAUUGUAGUCAAUGCCCUACUUUUGUGCAUACCCUUUAGCAACUAAUCUUGCUUUGAAUCUCACAUUGCUUUUCUCAUCAGCAUCUUCCUUCUUGGCAUACACCCAUUUGCAACCGAUAGCUUUCUUGCCCUUAGGCAAUUUAGUUAACUCCCAAGUCUUGUUCUUCAAAAAAGAAUUCAUCUCAUCACCCAUGGCAUUGCACUACCUCUCAUUUUCUUCACUCUCAAUAGCUUCCUCAAAAUUGGAUGGAAUCUCAUCAGUGAUAAUAGGAAGAGCAAAAGAAACAUAGUCACUAUACCGAGCUAGCUUGGUAAUUUGUCUUUUUCCUCUGUUCUUGGCAAUAGACUCUUGAGGUGAAACUUCCUCUUCAACUUGAAUAGAAUCUUCAAGUUCAACUUCUUCAACAUCCUCAUGGUCUUCAACUUCUUCACUUGUAGUGGCUUCGACAUCAGUGGAAAUAUGAUUUGAAGUACCAGAGGCAACUUUCUCAAGCUCCACCUGUUGGACAUCUUUCACAUUCUUCUCAGAGUCUUUGAACAUACUUUCUUCAUCAAAUGUCACAUCUCUACUGAUUAUAAGUUUCUUCAUCUCUGGGCACCACAACCUGUAACAUUUAACACCACUACUAAAACCAAGAAAGAUAGCCUUUUUGGCUUUAGGAUCAAGUUUACUUUCAGUCAUAUGAAAAUAAGCAGGUGAACCAAAAAUACGGAUAUAGUCAUAAUCAGAAGAAGGUUUUCCAGUCCAUACCUCCAUUGGUGUUUUACCCUGAAUAGCAGCUGAGGGUAACCGGUUGAUGAUGUGACAUGCAUAAUUAACUGCAUCUGCCCAAAAUGACUUGCUUAAACCCGACUGAGACAACAUACAUCUAACCUUCUCAAGCAAGGUUCGAUUCAAUCUUUCUGCAACUCCAUUUUGUUGUGGAGUUCCCCGAACACUAAAAUGUCUCACAAUCCCUUCCUCCUUGCAAACUUUAAAGAAAGGGUCGGAUGUGUAUUCUCCACCAUUAUCCGAUCACAAAAUUUUAAUUUUUCUCCCAGUCUGGUUCUCAACCAUUUUCUUCCAACUCAAGAAAAUGUUCAACACCUCACUCUUGUGCUUCAUAGUGUAGACCCAAGACCUUUUUGAAUAAUCAUCAACAAAGGUCACAAACCAAUGUCUACCACUCAAAAAGGGAGUCUUUGUAGGACCCCAAACAUCUGAAUGCACAUAAUCAAGAAUGUCAUUCGUCUGAUAUACUGCAGUACCAAACUUCACUCUAGUUUGCUUUCCCAAGACACAAUGCUCGUAGAAAUCAAGCUUACAAGUCGUGGCACCUUUUAGAAGACCUUGUUUCACAAGCCCUUGUAGAGCUUUCUCACUGGCAUGACCUAAUCUCAUAUGCCACAGUCUAGUAGUAUCUGAAUUCAGUCUAGUAGUAUCUGAAUUAGAUGUGCCCAUAUUUUCUGAGACUACAGACGUUUCAUUUGUCACGGUGCUUCCUUGCAAUAAAUACAAAUGACCACAUCGAUGAGCUUUCAUCACAACAAGUGCACCAUAGGUAACUUUCAAUGUCUGCUCAUCUGAAUGAAACCUGAAGCCCUUGGAUUCCAAAGUACCCAAAGCAAUAAGAUUUUUCUUCAAAUUCGGUACAUACCGAACACCUGCCAACUCUUUAACCAUGCCAUCAUGCAACUUCAAACGAACUGUACCAAUCCCUUUUGUUGUGCAAGGUUUGUCAUCUCCUAUGAACACAACGCCACCAUCAAACUCUUUCAAGCUUGAAAACCAAUCCUUGUGAGGAGUCAUAUGAUGAGUACAACCCGUAUCCAACACCCACUUAAUAGCACAAUCAAAUGAUGAGGAAGUGGUUAAAGCAAAAUCAGAAAAAUCUGUUUCAACCUCAGCAACAUUAGCUUCAGAACUUUCUUUGCCUUUGGUCUUCAAUCUAGGACAAUCUUUCUUCCAAUGGCCCUUAUUACGACAAAAGGCACAUUCAUCCAUUUCCAAAGGUUUUCUACCUUUAGAGUUUCCUCUAGGUCGAGACUGUGAUUUUUUUUUUACUAGAAGAUGAUAUUCUCUCCGAUGAUCUACCUCUAACAAAUAAAGCUUCAGAGGUACUAUCAUGAUUUUUAUCUCUAUGCCUCAUUUCAUAAUUCAUCAAGGCAUUUGACACAUCUUCAAAUUUCACAGUUUCUUUACCAUGCAUAAUAGUGGUAACAAAAUGCUCAUAAGAGUCCGGUAAGGAAUUCAACAAUAUUAAGGUCUUAUCUUCAUCCUUAAUAUCCUCAUCUAAAUUUAACAAGUCGGAAAUCAACUUAUUAAAAGCAUCAAGGUGUCUAAUCAUUUUUGUACCUUCUUUGUAUUGGAAGCGGUAAAGUUUUUUCAUCAAGUGUAGCCGGUUCUCUGCACUCUUCGUCAUAUACUUAUCUUCCAAUUUUUGUCAUAACACAUUUGCCAAUGUCUCCUGCAUCACAAAAUACUUAUGAGUUUUUGCAAAGCACAAUAGAAUUGAAGAGCAAGCCCACAAAUUUAAUUUCUCUCAUUCCAGCUUCGACAUAGCUUCCGGCUUCUCUCCCAAAGCGGCAAGUAGAUCUUGUUGAGCCAACACAUCUUUGACCUCACAUUGCCACAUCCCGAAGUUGUUUGUGCCAUCAAACUUUUCCACUUCGAACUUUGCAUUUUGCACCGUAGUUCUUGCAAACCCGGAGUUGCUUCCAAAAGGAUUCUCAUCUUGCCCGUCUGACAUCUUUGGCAACUAGACAGUACCCAAGAGCAACCAGUGCUCUGAUACCAAUUGUUGUGCUAGGAUAGCACCAAACCUUUUAGAACCAACUCUUGAUAACCCACAGGAAAUAUAUCAAAUGAAAUGCAAGAACAAAAUAUUAAAGACACCAAGAUUUUAACGAGGUUCCUCAACAGUCAGUGUAACUGGAGUACGUCCUCGGAGCAGUAGGAGCUCACCCAAUAAUCCACUAUCAACCAAUUGGGAGUUUACAAAGUGUUGGCAAUCUCACAACCCAAAUAACCCAAUACACCCAAUAGCUCUCACACACCACAGAAACAAAUAGAGAAAGAAAUAUAAUGAAUAAUUUCUUCUCUAUACAUAUAGCUCAAAGCUAUUACAACAACAAUUACUUUGGUGGAUAAUUACUAACCAAAUGAAGCAGUAGCUUCUCUUCCUUUUGGGCUCUCUGCAAAUCUCCUUGCUCUCAACAGCUCUCACUUCUCACUUCAGAAAAAUGAGCCCUCUUCUUCUACCUUUUUUCUUCUGCCCGAAACCAAUAAUUAUGGCUUUGAAAAAGCCACAAAACAAGGAAACAUAAUCAUGUUGUCUUUUUUUUCUUUUGCUUUGUUUAAUAGCCGAAAGCAUUUUGUUUUGUUGUCCACUUGGCCACUUAUUCAACAAGAAGUGCUAAAGUUAAUUGAUGGACCGACAAAAGAAGGGAGCACCACCAAUCUCUUUCCGAGUGAAUGUAACAGCCGGGAAUCGCCCCUUGCAUUUCGCGGCUUAACACGUUUGGGAUAUCAAUGAACAGAGUUAACUUUGCUCCGUGUGGACUGCAUCCAAAUCCACCACACUCAUGCGCUUGCACAGGUGAGUCUGUGAGGUGGUCACUGACAACUAACCAUGUGUUUAACUCCAAGGUUUUGAGUGCUUGGCAGAUGCUUGCGAUUGCCACCGGGAUUUGUUCGCUUCCGGCUAAAUUCAACGGUCACUUGCCCCGGUCUCGUCGUACUUUUCUUCACACCUUCAAUCCCGGAUCGUGCGUUAACUGAGGCUGUCUAGUAGAAGUAGAUGUUAAAUUUUAGGAAAUUAGUUUGGCGUUUGUGUGAAAAUUGUGCGAUUAAACUGGGGUUUGUCUCUCUUCCCCUAUAUUUUUGUAUUUUCUGUUUCUUGGCCCAUUGUUCAUCAUUGAAUUAUACAGGAGAGAGUUUCAAUUCUUCAUGUUGUAAAACAAUUUUUGUAAAAUUUGAGAAUAAUGUAUUUUCAUUUAGACCAUGCAUUCCAACUGAUUCUUAAUUCCAUUCUAAAUCGACGUUUGAAUUGUUGGACCUGGCGUGGUCCUCGUAAAUAAAACGAGGAUUCUGAAUAAAUUUCAGUGUAUUGAGACAUAUCAAUCUUGUCGUUUACCCGUAUAACAAGUUUAGUUUUGGGACGAAGAACAUGAUUUACAAGGAUCACGAAGCAAAAAGAUUGGACAAGGCCCACCUACUUCUCAUGAAAAUGAAAGCAUUCAUAGUUUCUUGGGACCUAGAUCCUCUCCGAGGCAAACCCUUGGGAUCCUACUGAACGACAAACACGGGCCGUUGGAUUUUGAUCCAACGGCUACAAAUAGGGAAUCCCUCUUAAAGUUAUAAUAAAUGUAACCGUUGGAUCGAAAUCCAACGGCCCAUGUUUAUCGCUCAGCAAGAUCCCGAAGGUUUGCCUCGGAGAGGUUCCAGUUCCAGUUUCUUUUAUAUUCUAUUACGAACGUGUUGAAAGUUUCAAAAGCACACAUGCAUGCAUGUAUUAUUAUUCAACUUAAUUUCUGAUGAUGUCACACAGUCAAAGGAAGGGAUAUUGAAACUCGAUCUCCACCGCCAGUUUAAUGUAUAUAAUGAACGGACGGCAUCUAACCAAAUUGGUGACAACAUAGGGAUGAAACCUUGACUUUUCAGUACUGGCAUCAUGGGAUUAGGAUAUGAUAAUUUUCCUUGGCUGCCAAGCCUCACUGUGUAUAUAAAUGGAGGUUCUGCAUCGUCCUCCAUUCACAACCACUUUUACACGUACAUCAAGUUAACAAUUUUCUUCAUAUUUCCUUCCUUCUAUUUGCUCAAAAUGGUCAGUUUGUGUUGUUCAUUUUUCAAGAUUUUAUUGUUAAUUAUUAUUAUUAUUAUUAUUAUUAUUAUUAUUAUUAUUAUUAUUAUUAUUAUUAUUAUUUUCAAAUGGGAGUGCCUACUUGAAUUUGUGGGUCCCAUCACAAAAAUAUUGGAGGCGUACUAUGGAAAAGGAUCAUCUUCGGAUCCUCUUUGUGGGGAUCUGGAUGAUCAAUCAAUCAUGUUCGUUCAUUGUAUAUCAUGCGAUCAUAAACUUCAAUAUAUAUACGGUUAAAAUAUAUGACUAAAAAACUUAUAUUAUUCAGUCUCAAUUUUUUUUUUUUUUAAAUAUUGGCUGAUAUUUUGACUUUUUAUUGCUUCUCUCUGCAUUUGGUGGGAAGCAGGCUCUUUCACUCACUAUUGAGGUAAUGGCUAUUCCUCUUUUUUUUUUUCUUUUCCUUUUCUAUCUUAUUUAUUUUUUGGAACUAAAAUUUUCUCUAUGUUUCAACAUUAACUUCAAUAUAUUUUUUACCAGAAAGAAUUUGCUCAAAACUCAGAAAGAAUUAAGUCUGUGGAUCUACAUCCAACUGAGCCAUGGUAAUUGCUUGUCUUGGCAAUUCUGUUUAUGUUUUCUGCAUCUCCUCGUUUUGAUUUUUUUUCAUAUUCUUACCCUAAACCCUAAACCCUAAUUGAUGCAAGUGCAACCUUCUGCUAUCCACUUUCGAUUUCGUGUACGUUAAUUGAUUGAAUUCUAAAAAUGCAAGAUAAUCAAAGCUUGUUGGUAAUGUUUUGCAUGUAGGGUUCUGGUCAGUUUGUAUUCAGGUGCUGUUUGUAUCUGGAAUUACCAAUCACAGACCAUGGAGAAGUCCUUCAAGGUCACUGAAUCACCAGGUACAUUAUUUUCUUUCAUAUGUUCUUGUUGCGUGCCUACCGAAGUUUCUCUCAUUGACAGAUAUGACUUUGCGUCUAAAUUUUGUUUACAUGUGCUUGCAGUCAGGUCAGCAAAGUUUGUAGCACGCGAACACUGGAUAGUAACCGCAGCUGAUGACACAUUUAUUCGCGUCUACAACUAUGACACGACGGAAAAGAUCAAAGAGUUUGAAGCACAUACAGAUUAUAUCAGGAGUGUGACUGUCCAUCCUACUCUACCUUAUCUCUUGUCAUGCUCGGACGACAACGUUAUAAAGCUUUGGGAUUGGGAGAAGGAUUGGUCAUGCACUCAGAUCUUUGAGGGACAUUCUCACUAUGUAAUGCAAGUGGCGUUCAAUCCAAACGACACCAAUACUUUCUCUAGUGCGUCUCUUGAUGGCACUGUCAAGGUAUUGCAAGGAUUGUUAUUUGUGCAAACUUAACCGUAAAAUUUUCAGCGUCAUGACUUCUGUGACACUCAUAUACUUUUGCAGGUAUGGAGGAUUGGCUCCGCUGGCCCAGAGUUUACAUUAGAGGACCACUUAAAAGGAGUAAAUUGCGUUCAUUACUUCAUUCGCGACAAUAAAACAUAUCUAUUGAGUGGUUCCGACGAUUUUACUGUUAAGGUUUGUGAUGAAAUGUUGGUUAUAUAUAUGUACUGAAUAUGAUGAUAUGUGUUCGUCUUUGCGUGCAUAUGAAUUUGAAUGUAUUAUGUCAAUGCAGGUAUGGGACUACGAAAUCAAAAGCUGUGUCCAAACUUUAGAAGGCCAUGAGCACAAUGUAACUGCUCUAUGUGUUCAUCCUGAGCUUCCCAUAAUAAUCACAGCUUCUGAGGAUGGGAAUGUUCACAUUUGGCAUGCAGCCACUUUUAGGUAACCGUCUUUUACGAUUCAAAAUAUUUACACCAGAAACGCAGUUAACUCGAUUUCUGUUUACGUCUUCUUUUUGUAACCCAUUCUUAUGGUCUUGCAGGCUAGAAAAGAGACUGAGCUACGAUCUCGAAAGAGUUUGGGCCAUCGCACACUCGAAAGGAUCAGACAAGUGAGUUUUUUUCCAUCUUUUUCUUGUUGUUAGGAUUCGUUUUGUUGUGGCAUUUGAUUGAUUACCAGUGACGAUAUAAAUUGACUUCGUACUUCAUUGCUCUGCAGAGUUGCAUUUGGAUUUGACAAAGGAAUAGUUGUGGUUAAAAUGAAUGGUCAUGUUGAUCUCCAAGCUUAGAAGGAAAGGUUGAAGGAAUAAAAGAGAUCUAGUGAUCAUGUGAUUAAUACCUUCACCUUGUCAAUAAAUGAUUUCGACACACAAGACUAAUAUACUUGUUGACACGUUCUCUAAUACAAGUAGAUUUCAUAGUUGUAUGCAAGUUUCGUAUUGCCAAGUGUGUCGGCAAGUGUGUUAGUUUUGUAUGUCUAAAU